Molecule: long non-coding RNA, 1984 nt
Filed under: Brassica napus (rape)
Lineage: Eukaryota; Viridiplantae; Streptophyta; Magnoliopsida; Brassicales; Brassicaceae
Description: long non-coding RNA (BNAP_LNC004202)
Source: RNAcentral
AAUUUUCUGUGGAUAUCGUAUCUACCACCACCUUCUCCUCCUCAUGUCUUCCACCUCAUAUUCACAUCCACCACCACAACAUCCACCAACACGGCAUCCACCACCACUUCCUACUUCUCGCAUCUUCCACCUCUACCUCUGUAUCCACAUCCACCACAACAGUAUCCCCAGCCACGGCAUCCACCACCACAUCCUCCUCCUCACGUCUUCCACCUCNNNNNNNNNNNNNNNCUCGGUAUUCCCAGCUUCCCAGCCUCUUCAGCCGCCGUUUUAUCUGGUGGGUUAGGCGGAGGAGGAGGAGCACCGCCGAUGAUGCUGCAGUUGGGUUCAGGCGAGGAAGGAAGUGGGUUUCACAGUCAGAUGUUUCCUUUAGGUUUGAGUCUUGAACAAGGGAAAGGACCUGGCGUUCUUAGACCUGAAGGUGGUGGUGGUCUUGGAAGUGGGAAACAGUUCAUAAAGCUCACAACUUUUUAAAAACAGAGGAAGGAGGUUCAGUACCAGUGCUUCGCUCCAGUUGUUCGCCGAACUACGUAGGGAAAGAAUAGCAGAACGGAUCAGGGCGCUUCAAGAACUUGUUCCUACUGUUAACAAGGUUGGUCUAUCUCUUAACCUUGAGCUUCACUUUGUAACUUUUGUCAUCUCUUCACAAAGGUUUAGCACUUGCUGUUUCUCUCUGCAGACAGAUAGAGCUGCUAUGAUCGAUGAGAUUGUCGAUUAUGUAAAGUUUCUCAGGCUCCAAGUUAAGGUAAUAUUAUAUUACUUGUCUCUACAUAACCAAUCUAAUAGCCUUAAUCUUGAAUCUAGAUUGAUUUUUUUUUAAUGUGCCAGAGAAUAAUAAACAAAGACUAAACUGCCCUUUUUUGUACUUUGACAUUUAGUCUCUCUUCUUUUCACUUUUUGUUUUGUUUCAUAUUGGAGGAUAAUCAUGGUUUAAGAUUAAAAUACCAUAUAUUAAAACCAUCAAGUAUAAUCAUGAUGAUCACGUUAUAAUAUAAGAUCUCUUAGAGCAAACGCUUCUUAAUAUCAAAAUGCAAUAGGUUGUUUAAAGCUCCUGUCUAACAAAAAAAAGGAAGUCUUACAUAAAAGGACACAUUGUGAGUUUUGUUUACUCUAUAAGACACAAAACAAUUUUGACACACUUUUUCUUGCCAACUGUCUUUAUUGAGACAUAAAUGACCUUGGCUAUUACUAAAGAGAAAGAUGCUUAUUUUAAGGAAGCAAACCGAAAAAGAACCAGUUACCUUGUAAUUGCAAUAAAGGAUAUAGCAAUAAAACAAAAAGUUAGAUAUAUGAGUUUAUGAGAAUAUACCGUGGACGUCAGAUCAUUUUGAAGAAAGCAGAUCCAACGAUCCGGAGAUGUGUUGAUUUGUGGAUGAGUUUUUGUGGACGAAUUCUCUUGGACAAGGUUUCUCGUAGACAAUUUGUGGAUACUAUAUAUGUGGACAAACAAAUUGGUAGACAAAAGAAGCGUUGAUAACAUGAUUUUAUCGAAUGUUAUAGGAAAUAAUUGCCUUUUUUGUCUUUCUAAGAAGAAAAUGAGAAUUGUUUAUUAACUUCUUAUAUAUUCGAUUUAGAUAUUUAUAAAUUGAAUAAAGAAGAAAAAAUUUUGUGAAUCAAUGAAUUAUGGUUCUGAUUCGUCAUUUAGUAAAAUUUCUCUAUAAAAUCGUUCAUCACUCAUCAUUAUCAUGAAACAAUGAUUAAGCUUUUCUGUGGACACAAUUCAGUGGUCGGACACACUUCUGUGGACACAAUUUAUGUGGACAUGAAAAUGUUAUAAAAUUUUCUGUGGAUAUCGUAUCUACCACCACCUUCUCCUCCUCAUGUCUUCCACCUCAUAUUCACAUCCACCACCACAACAUCCACCAACACGGCAUCCACCACCACUUCCUACUCCUCGCAUUUUCCACCUCCGUAUCCACAUCCACCACAACAGCAUCCAUAGCCACGGCAUCCACCACCACAUCCUCCUCCUCACGUCUUCCAC